UUUGCAUUUAAUAAAUGUUCAUUAUUAAAAUGACAUAAUUUUGGUUGUAACUGAAUUAAUUUAAAAUUGCGAUACAUUUACUAAAAACAAUCUGUUCUUUCCAUUUCUCUUGAUUUAAAAUUUCAUUAUUAAAAACGACAAAAGUGUUUGCAAUAAUUCAUAUCACAUCACCAAAACAAAAUGUGCAGUAUAUAUAUUUACAGCUUAAAGCAAUUAAAUCUUCAUAAAAAUUGAAUUGGUCCACUUAUUUUAAAUUAACAAUCUUAUAUUUUACGAUUAUCAGAAGAUGGCAUAAUCAUAAAACAAAUUUGCAAUAUUCAAUAUCUGUGUGAAUAGAUAUUAUGAUUAGUACUGUUGAUUAUUCAUAAUGUCAAGUCCCUAUUUCUGAUUUGAAAUCCUUAUUUUCU
Molecule: long non-coding RNA, 407 nt
Filed under: Mytilus galloprovincialis (Mediterranean mussel)
Lineage: Eukaryota; Metazoa; Mollusca; Bivalvia; Mytilida; Mytilidae
Source: RNAcentral